This 322-nucleotide long non-coding RNA is filed under the name Cottoperca gobio. RNAcentral describes it as "lncRNA (ENSCGOG00000006256.1)". Lineage: Eukaryota; Metazoa; Chordata; Actinopteri; Perciformes; Bovichtidae. The record is from RNAcentral.
ACCCAGUGAGUUAACUCUAAAUGAACCAGUCACUGACUUGUAAUAAGGAUCUUUUCUCUUCUUCCAGGAAAGAGCUUCAUCUGUCCGCUGACCUCGAAUGCAGCUGUGAGGCCGUGAAGACAUGACGUGUGCUUCCAUUGGUGGACUGACCUUCAAUGACAUCAGAGCAGGUGCUGUGCUUUGUGGACAGACGUUGAUCCUGUGGUCAACCAUGAAUAUCAAGAACGUGUCAAUGUUUGUGCAAAAUUGUCAAUAAAUGGAAAAAAUAAAUGCUGUGCCUGUUGUCUUUAUGUAAGAGAAAAGUACAAUAUGUACCAAUAUA